AGUUCCAUAGCGUAAUGGCUAACGCGUCCCCCUCCUAUAAGGGGAAGAUUGCGGGUUCGAGUCCCGUUGGAACUG
Molecule: non-coding RNA, 75 nt
Organism: Torulaspora globosa
Lineage: Eukaryota; Fungi; Ascomycota; Saccharomycetes; Saccharomycetales; Saccharomycetaceae
Source: the annotation of a RefSeq genome assembly